AGGAUUGACCUCGGAUCAGGUAGGGAUACCC
RNAcentral lists this ribosomal RNA (31 nucleotides) under Ciborinia whetzelii. Its description in RNAcentral is "partial 28S ribosomal RNA". The record is from RNAcentral. Lineage: Eukaryota; Fungi; Ascomycota; Leotiomycetes; Helotiales; Sclerotiniaceae.